This 75-nucleotide transfer RNA is filed under the name Oscillospiraceae bacterium. RNAcentral describes it as "tRNA-Cys". It matches the Rfam family "tRNA". From Rfam's summary of the family: Transfer RNA (tRNA) molecules are approximately 80 nucleotides in length. Their secondary structure includes four short double-helical elements and three loops (D, anti-codon, and T loops). Lineage: Bacteria; Bacillati; Bacillota; Clostridia; Eubacteriales; Oscillospiraceae. The record is from RNAcentral.
GGGCGAGAGGUGCUUCAGGAAGCAUACCCGUAGCACAGCGGGAGGCAGUCGGUUCGAAUCCGGCCUUGCCCUCCA